UGGGGAAUAUUGCACAAUGGGCGCAAGCCUGAUGCAGCCAUGCCGCGUGUGUGAAGAAGGCCUUCGGGUUGUAAAGCACUUUCAGCGGGGAGGAAGGCGAUAAGGUUAAUAACCUUGUCGAUUGACGUUACCCGCAGAAGAAGCACCGGCUAACUCCGUGCCAGCAGCCGCGGUAAUACGGAGGGUGCAAGCGUUAAUCGGAAUUACUGGGCGUAAAGCGCACGCAGGCGGUUUGUUAAGUCAGAUGUGAAAUCCCCGGGCUCAACCUGGGAACUGCAUCUGAUACUGGCAAGCUUGAGUCUCGUAGAGGGGGGUAGAAUUCCAGGUGUAGCGGUGAAAUGCGUAGAGAUCUGGAGGAGUACCGGUGGCGAAGGCGGCCCCCUGGACGAAGACUGACGCUCAGGUGCGAAAGCGUGGGGAGCAAACAGG
Molecule: ribosomal RNA, 429 nt
Filed under: Chloroflexota bacterium
Lineage: Bacteria; Bacillati; Chloroflexota
Description: Chloroflexi bacterium partial 16S ribosomal RNA
Rfam family: Bacterial small subunit ribosomal RNA
Source: RNAcentral